UCACUUGAACCUGCCGAUGCGCCGCCUUAUCUAGCAAUUGUCCUUCGGGACUAUGGACAUAAACGCGCAUGUAAUAAGCGGAUCGGACCCGGGGGCGGUACCCGGCGACUCCACCAUAUUCCUUUAUUGGGGGAUCAGGGGGUCGAAACAGGAUCGACGAACGUCUAAAGAUGUUAGCUUUGGCUCGGUGAGGUACCACCGUUAUCGGUCCGUUUUGUACAGUUGCCAAUAACAACCGUGCUCCGGCAAUGGCUCUGGCUGCUUAAGCAGUUCGAGUCGCCGAAACUAAGUCCUUGCGCUUAGCCGCGUAAGGCGGGGUUCGCAGGUACCUGGCAACAGAAACCUGCACU
Molecule: non-coding RNA, 350 nt
Organism: Ketogulonicigenium vulgare Y25
Lineage: Bacteria; Pseudomonadati; Pseudomonadota; Alphaproteobacteria; Rhodobacterales; Roseobacteraceae
Source: Rfam